CCUGUUGGCUCCCAGUAGGAAGGUUCACAGCAUUGGCAGAAUAACAACAAAAACGCAAGUGCUUUCUGAGAAACCCAAGCAUCAAACAUACGUCAUUCACAAACAGUUUUGCACGCUUGCCACUUACUGAAAGAACCAGCACACGGCUUGGAUCAUUUCUUUCUAGGAGAUGCUGUCACACGCUCCUUACCUUGCUGGUAACGUGAGUAACCUGGAUGGAACAAAAUUCCUUAUGUGGUCAGGUGUGCUAAUCUUCUGUCAACAGGAAUACUUAAACUGCGAUAAGGCUGAAGGACAAGGUUAAUGCAAGGAGGCGGGUCUGAACCGUGAGAGCCAGGCCAUUCAGCGCCUUUGAAACACGAGCCUUGAGAUCCAGAUCUGGACUUCACUGCCACCGGGGUAAAUUGGAGAACCUUUGCAGUGGAAACCCUGAAUCCAGAAACCUCUUGGAAAUCACAGGUCUUAUUCCAAGCUCCUUGCCUCUAUUUUUUUUUUUUUUUUCUGCAUCUAAAUAUGCCAAAUCAUCAAAUAACAAGACCAGCGAAGGUCAUAAAUGUGAGGAUUGGUCGCAAAGUCACUUUUUCAUCACCAUCGUAACAGCAAACCAUCACUAAAUGAGGCAGUUGCUAAAUGAGGACUACCCUUAGUGUUCCCUUUUUUUAGUGUUAUGAGUUUGUUCAAAGAUAAUCUGGUUGGUUUGUUUAUAGGUUUUCAAUCUCCUGCCA
Molecule: long non-coding RNA, 725 nt
Organism: Candoia aspera
Lineage: Eukaryota; Metazoa; Chordata; Lepidosauria; Squamata; Candoiidae
Exons: 3
Source: RefSeq, a predicted model, not a curated record